CCUACGGGAGGCAGCAGUGAGGAAUAUUGGUCAAUGGACGAGAGUAUGAACCAGCCAAGUAGCGUGAAGGAUGACUGCACUAUGGGUUGUAAACUCCUUUUAUAUGGGAAUAAAAUGCUCCACGUGCGGGAUUAUGUAUGUAUCAUAUGAAUAAGGAUCGGCUAACUCCGUGCCAGCAGCCGCGGUAAUACGGAGGAUCCGGGCGUUAUCCGGAUUUAUUGGGGUUAAAGGGAGCGUAGGGGGAUUGUAAAGUUAGUUGUGAAAGGUUGCGGCUCAACCGGAAAAUUGCAGUUGAAACUGGCCGUCUAGAGUACAGUAGAGGUAGGCGGAAUUCGUGGUGUAGCGGUGAAAUGCUUAGAUAUCACGAAGAACACCGAUUGCGAAGGCGACUCACUAGACUGCAACUGACACUGAGGCGCGAAAGUGUGGGUAUCAAACAGGAGUAGAUACCCCGGUAGUC
RNAcentral lists this ribosomal RNA (460 nucleotides) under uncultured bacterium. Its description in RNAcentral is "partial 16S ribosomal RNA". It matches the Rfam family "Bacterial small subunit ribosomal RNA", at positions 338 to 795 of the family's 1533-position model. The record is from RNAcentral.